This 74-nucleotide transfer RNA is filed under the name Planctomycetota bacterium. RNAcentral's name for it is "tRNA-Ile". It matches the Rfam family "tRNA". Rfam says of the family: Transfer RNA (tRNA) molecules are approximately 80 nucleotides in length. Their secondary structure includes four short double-helical elements and three loops (D, anti-codon, and T loops). The record is from RNAcentral. Lineage: Bacteria; Pseudomonadati; Planctomycetota. RNAcentral also lists the same sequence under 4 other names.
GGGCGCAUAGCUCAGUUGGUCAGAGCGCACCCCUGAUAAGGGUGAGGUCCCAGGUUCGAAUCCUGGUGCGCCCA